UUACAUAUUAGGCAAUAGUUCUAGUUACACAUUUGGCAUAUUGACAAAAAUGUCAUCCUCACCCCAUUGACAUUAGAAUUGAAAGCAUAGGAGGGUUUCACCCCUUGCAAUGUUUAAUUCAAUAUAAUUGUUUUCUUGUUUACAUUAGUGACCAUAUCAGAGCACGGUGUACAUCUCUUGCAGUAUUCAGAAUAUUUCUCUACGGGCAGCAACAUUUUUCUCUCCUUAUCUGGAUAUUAGGAAGAAUAUCACAGGACCGGCUUACAGCGCCAGUCACAUCUGACCAUAUCAGAGCACAGUGUACUCCUCUUGCCGUAUUCAGAGGAUUUGCCUAUGGGCAGCAACAUUAUUCUCUCGUUCUCUGGAUAUUAGGAACAAUAUCACAGGACCGGCGGACAGCCCCAGUCAUAUCUGACCAUAUCAAAGCAUGGUGUACACCUCUUGCCGUAUUAAGAGUAUUUCCCUAUGGGCAGCAACAUUUUCCUCUCCUUCUCUGGAUAUUAGGAACAAUAUUCCAGGACCAGGGUACAGCCCCAGUCACGUCGUGG
This is a non-coding RNA of Callithrix jacchus (white-tufted-ear marmoset), 548 nucleotides long. The record is from RefSeq and is a predicted model, not a curated record. NCBI's taxonomy places the organism in Eukaryota, Metazoa, Chordata, Mammalia, Primates, Cebidae.